CGCAAAUAAGCCCGGCGGGACACAAGUGUCAUGGCGCGCUCCAUCUGAAGCCUGUGCAGUUUCCUGACAGUGGCUUGUGGUUUUUCUCUCAGUUUGGACAGAUUCAUCUUUCAAGAGGACUUGAGACCAAUUUCAGAUAAUCAAGAUGCCUUCUGCAUCCUGUGAUGUACUGCUGGAUGACAUAGAAGAUAUCAUAUCACAGGAAGAUUCAAAGCCACAAGAUAGACAUUUCUCAAGAAAGCAUGUGUUUCCUAAAGUACGGAGGCGGAAUACCCAAAAAUAUUUGCAAGAAGAGCCCAGCCCACCAAGUGACAGCACGAUUCCAGGCAUACAGAAAAUUUGGAUACGAACAUGGGGCUGCUCACAUAAUAAUUCAGAUGGAGAAUACAUGGCUGGACAGCUUGCUGCCUAUGGCUAUAAAAUUACAGCUCAGUGUGGAAAAAGCCAGGCGUGGGCCUCAUGGAAAUCAUUCACCGUUGUCUUCUGUUUCUCAGGGGCUCACUGUCCUUCACCCCGUCAGCUUCAGGGUCUGAAAGCACUCUUUUGAAUGAUGGUGAUCUCAUUUCAAAAAAUGGAGACUCCCAGACUGUUCAUUGACUUCGGGUAGUGGGCAGGUAUUAGACCUGGGACUUUGGCUCCUGGACACACAUUCCCAGUGUCCUCACACACAUGGUUGCC
RNAcentral lists this long non-coding RNA (678 nucleotides) under Rattus norvegicus (Norway rat). RNAcentral's name for it is "long non-coding RNA NONRATT012442". Lineage: Eukaryota; Metazoa; Chordata; Mammalia; Rodentia; Muridae. The record is from RNAcentral.